UGGGGAAUAUUGCACAAUGGGCGCAAGCCUGAUGCAGCCAUGCCGCGUGUAUGAAGAAGGCCUUCGGGUUGUAAAGUACUUUCAGCGGGGAGGAAGGUGUUGUGGUUAAUAACCACAGCAAUUGACGUUACCCGCAGAAGAAGCACCGGCUAACUCCGUGCCAGCAGCCGCGGUAAUACGGAGGGUGCAAGCGUUAAUAGGACUUACUGGGCGUAAAGCGCACGCAGGCGGUCUGUCAAGUCGGAUGUGAAAUCCCCGGGCUCAACCUGGGAACUGCAUCCGAAACUGGCAGGCUUGAGUCUUGUAGAGGGGGGUAGAAUUCCAGGUGUAGCGGUGAAAUGCGUAGAGAUCUGGAGGAAUACCGGUGGCGAAGGCGGCCCCCUGGACAAAGACUGACGCUCAGGUGCGAAAGCGUGGGGAGCAAACA
Molecule: ribosomal RNA, 427 nt
Filed under: uncultured bacterium
Lineage: Bacteria
Description: partial 16S ribosomal RNA
Rfam family: Bacterial small subunit ribosomal RNA
Source: RNAcentral